Molecule: ribosomal RNA, 500 nt
Filed under: uncultured bacterium
Lineage: Bacteria
Description: partial 16S ribosomal RNA
Rfam family: Bacterial small subunit ribosomal RNA
Source: RNAcentral
AUUGAACGCUGGCGGCAUGCCUUACACAUGCAAGUCGAACGGCAGCACGGGCUUCGGUCUGGUGGCGAGUGGCGAACGGGUGAGUAAUGUAUCGGAACGUACCAUUGAGUGGGGGAUAACGUAGCGAAAGUUAAGCUAAUACCGCAUAUUCUCUCCGGAGGAAAGCAGGGGACCGCAAGGCCUUGCGCUCUUUGAGCGGCCGAUAUCAGAUUAGCUAGUUGGUGGGGUAAAAGCCCACCAAGGCGACGAUCUGUAGCGGGUCUGAGAGGAUGAUCCGCCACACUGGGACUGAGACACGGUCCAGACUCCGACUGGAGGCAGCAGUGGGGAAUGUUGGACAAUGGGGGCAACCCUGAUCCAGCCAUGCCGCGUGAGUGAAGAAGGCCUUCGGGUUGUAAAGCUCUUUCGGCCGGGAAAAAAUCGCAUGGAUUAAUACUCUGUGUGGAUGAUGGUACCGGAAUAAGAAGCACCGGCUAACUACGUGCCAGCCGCCGCAGUAA